This 756-nucleotide long non-coding RNA is filed under the name Gossypium raimondii (Peruvian cotton). RNAcentral describes it as "long non-coding RNA (GRAI_LNC003887)". Lineage: Eukaryota; Viridiplantae; Streptophyta; Magnoliopsida; Malvales; Malvaceae. The record is from RNAcentral.
UUGAAUCUCACACAACAAUUAUGCUCUUUGUGAAAGCUGCUCACCUGUAGACACUUUGAUCUCUUAUUGUAACUUGCAGAUAUUCUCCAAGGACAUUUCGCAAUGGUGAUGCACUUAACCCUGAUCCAUUUUGGUUCAUUUGUAACAAUUUUCAAUUCCCUUCUUGAAACCUUUGAAUAAUUUUGGAUGACAUCUUUGAAAGUUUCUCCAUCUCUAAAAAGCAUCCCUAAACAUAAUUUUGGAUUUUCAUAGUUUGGAUUGUACACCGAAAACUUCUUUCUUCUCCUUGCACCAUGCUCAUGUUUCUCCUCAGAACUAGACUCCACUAUACUACAUGGUCAUUAGAUUCAAAGUAAUCUAUCUCAUAACCAUUUGCCUCUUGUGUACUUUUAUCAUGCCUUUCUUGGACUUCUACAUCCUCCCAAACAUCAUUUUCAAGUUCACAUGCCAUCCUCUCCCUAUUAGCAUCAAUGUUAUAAUUUUUUACAGAUUUUCCUCUAAAUCUUUUCAACUUAUCCCUAGCAGCUUGCAACAUCUCAUCCCCCUAACCAUUUGAAAGAUAUUUAACAUUAACCAUAUAAACUUCAUCAACAUAUUGCCAGUCAACAUCCUCCCUCUUACCAUCGGCCUCAAAAGCCCCUUGACCAACACCCUUACCAUCCUCCUCACAGUCCCCCUCAUUGGACCCUUCAAUAGCUCCCAAAACAACUGCCUCACCAGCUCCAAAAUCAUCAUUCUCAUAAACAUGUGAUGCAU